UGCCAAUGGAAAAAUUUCAGGGAAAGAAGUAUGCUAACUCUUUGAAUCCAGAAAAUGAAGUGUUUGGAGAAAAUGCCUGCAGAAACCUACACUGCAUCAGAGAAUCCAGAAUGAACUUUGAGGUGUAAUUGAUUGAACUGAAGGGGGUUGGACACAUUUAUUUUGAAUGUAAACUUUUAUGCCAAAGGGGACUGCCCUCUAAUUGGCUUUUUGUCAAUUUGCCUAGCAAACAUUGGUUUUGCUCUCUCUUUCUUCUAUUUCUUUCUUAUCUUUAACUAUUGUAGUUUCCUCUUAGAAGGGGCAAUAUUAUAUGCACCUGUAGUUAGAAGAUUUUUAGGGGUAUAAGAUGAUAAUGUCAAAUGAUCCUUUGGGGAGACUAGUCUCCCCAAAGGAUCACAAGGGAAUGUAAAGAUGGAAUUAACUCUUCACUCACCUACUUUUAAAUUUAAUCACCAGAAGCAAAAACACCCUUACUUAAUUCCUAAGUGGGAGAGAUCCGCAACCCAUGUGCUAAAAUUCUGACAACUCAGAAAUGACUGACUGCCCCCUAGGCAGUCCUAAGCAAAGUUAUAGACUGCAAUUGGUCCCUGUCAAGUAGAUAAAGGCACAGGAAAUAAUGAAAAGAAAAGUGGCUUUAAAAGUGGCUGCAACUUCCUGUGAGUGAGUCUUUUUGAAGCUCUAGAGGCUAGUGGAGGAUCUUCCUCAGUGUGUGAGAUUUAAAAUGGUUGAGGUCUUAAAUUGUAGUGAUUAAAAUAGUGGAAGAUAUAAAUUAUGAUAGAUAUAAGAGAGGGUGAGUAAAUUUGACCGCAGAAAAUAUGUUUCACUACAGUGUCUUGGUUUUUAAAUCAAAUAUAAGAUGGUUGCCGGGGAAAUAUUCCCAAUUAUUCAAAUACCCAAGUCAACUGGGUUUUAUAGAGAUUUUUAAUUAAUAAUAUAAUGAGGAAUGAGAGAAAGAAUAGGAAAAGAAUAAUUAUGAAGGGCCUCAAGCCAAUAUGGCCUAGACCUGAGUCUUAAGAGAGAGAAUCAGUUAGUCAGUCUUUUAACACUCACCACAAGGUCUGC
Molecule: long non-coding RNA, 1062 nt
Filed under: Monodelphis domestica (gray short-tailed opossum)
Lineage: Eukaryota; Metazoa; Chordata; Mammalia; Didelphimorphia; Didelphidae
Description: lncRNA (ENSMODG00000036803.1)
Source: RNAcentral